This 321-nucleotide RNase P RNA is filed under the name Candidatus Woesearchaeota archaeon. RNAcentral describes it as "RNase P RNA component". It matches the Rfam family "Archaeal RNase P". Rfam says of the family: Ribonuclease P (RNase P) is a ubiquitous endoribonuclease, found in archaea, bacteria and eukarya as well as chloroplasts and mitochondria. Its best characterised activity is the generation of mature 5'-ends of tRNAs by cleaving the 5'-leader elements of precursor-tRNAs. Lineage: Archaea; Nanobdellati; Candidatus Woesearchaeota. The record is from RNAcentral.
GGCAUGGCGAGCGAGUCUCUUCGCGAGCCUCGCAAGUCACUGCUUCGCGAAAGUCCCCCUUGUAGCCACUCAUGAAAAUGAGUUCCAGUAAUGGAAGGCAACCACUCAGAAACGAGACCGCUGUAAUUAAGGAUGAAAUUUGUGAAGAUUCCUGCGAGGGAAUCAAGCUAACCAAUCGACGUUUUUGCAGCAUGGAUGAAACGGUGAGCCCUGGCUGGUGCAAGUCUUUAACGACGCUUAGUUUAAUGCUAAGGCAGGCUAUCGUGAUUGAUAAUAAUCACAUUCAGGGCCUGACAAAAGGUGGCUUAUUCUGGCCCUGCC